Non-coding RNA from Acanthosepion pharaonis, 109 nucleotides. Lineage: Eukaryota; Metazoa; Mollusca; Cephalopoda; Sepiida; Sepiidae. The record is from the annotation of a GenBank genome assembly.
UGACCAUAUCAUGUUGGAACACCAGUUCCCUAUGGUCACUGAAGUUAAACAAUGUUGAGCCUGAUCAGUACCUAGAUGGGUGACUGCUUGGGAAUACCAGAUGUUGUAA